This is an RNA transcript of Stegodyphus dumicola, 586 nucleotides long. RefSeq lists it as uncharacterized. Lineage: Eukaryota; Metazoa; Arthropoda; Arachnida; Araneae; Eresidae. The record is from RefSeq and is a predicted model, not a curated record.
UGUCGGUACCUGUUGUCACUAGGGCGGAAAAACAGCGGCAAUAAAGUAGGAAAACUAGUGUGCCGUAGUAAUAUUUUCUUUUACCUUCUUAUUCUUAAUCUGUGUUGAAAUGACGAAGAGACAACUUAGCGAGUCUCUCUGUGACUGUUAUUUUGUCAUAUCUACGAUUCAGCUGGUUGUUUACUUCAUUUCUCAACUGAAAGAAAUUAAUUCCACUGUAGAAGACAUGUGUACACAACAUUUGUUUCUUGCAAGCAAAAGAUAACUACUGAUAUAAUGUCAAAGCCACAAAGAUUAUAGAUUCCGUGAUUUCUUUCACUAUGAGAAAUGUUGUGAUGCGAUUAGUGUCAGAAAAUUUGAACCAAACUUGUGAAUCCAAAGCUUUGGUAAAUAUCAAAACUUGUCAUGUAAAAAGACCUAAUUUCUCACAUAUUGGAUAUAGAUUUCAGACUAAUGAAGCUACAUUGCAUGUUUCCUGUAAGGUAUGGAAGAAAAUAUUUGUAGUGAUACUUUCCUCUUAAAACCUUCUUAUUAAAAGCAUUUUAGAGGCUUAAUUGCUGCAAAUGUAAAACAGUAACUCAUUAAA